Long non-coding RNA from Lycium barbarum (goji berry), 2711 nucleotides. RefSeq lists it as uncharacterized. The record is from RefSeq and is a predicted model, not a curated record. The transcript is spliced from 3 exons. Lineage: Eukaryota; Viridiplantae; Streptophyta; Magnoliopsida; Solanales; Solanaceae.
UUGAAGUGGGAAACAUAUUACUUGUUUUGUCUGAAAUGUGUUUGGCAUCCAAUGACUUGGUCAAUAUAGAAGACUUUGAAGUGGGAAACAUAUUAUUACUUUUUGUCUGAAACUCUUUCUCUUUCCUUGUAAACUCGUUCUCUUUCCCUUUCUCUUUCUUUUCCAUUCUUCUUCUUCUUCGUUUGAUUAUUUCGAUCUGUAAUCAUGGAUGCAUCAUUCAAACUCAAGAUGGUUGGAUCUUCAUUAUCCCCCCUCAAAUUGGAGGGUAGUGAAACAACCCCCAAUUUGUCUAGCAAAAAUUUGUGAGAUGCCCCAGAGAGGGGUUUUGUGAAUAGAUCCGCAAUCUGCUGCUUUGAAGGGACGAAGGACAAAGUAAUGAGGCCGGAGACGAACUGUUGUCUUACAAAAUGACAAUCCAGUUCAACAUGUUUCGUCCUUUCGUGAAAGACUGGGUUUUUCGCAAUAUGGAUAGCCGCUUGGCUAUCGGAGUGAACAGUCACCGGCAAGCUAGGAGGAGCGGCAAGAUCUGAUAGAAGCUUCACUAUCCAGGAAAUGGGUGCUCCGCCAAGGGUGAUGAAAAAUCCACUGACUGACCGUCGAGAGUCAGUACAAAAUGCCCAGUCAGCAUCGCAAAAAGCAAGUAAUUCAAAAGAUGAAUCAGAGGAGAGGAGGAUCCCUUGUCCUGGAUCAUUUUUCAGAUCUGGAGCCUUACAAGCUCCAUUGAUGAAUCCAAGUUUUCUCUUGGCUGAUAAGGCUAGGAGAAUAGAUCUCCUCCAACCUGGACAUCCUUUGCCAUCAAACACAUUGUUAAUUAAAGCCAUUCCAGGGGAAUCAGAGUUAUUCAGAUGAUAAGGGUGACUGUUACUAUAAGUGAUGGUUUUGUCUACACUGCUUGAAUGUACAUUUGGUGUUGCAUCAGCCAUUUUGAUUGUAUAUGAACGGUCAUUUCUUCAUUUAUGUACUUAAUGAUGCCUUAAAGAAUCUUAGAAAUGUGAAUAAAGAGUGCCAACUUUAUGUAAUUCCAUGACUGAGACAGUUCAGCACUACUCCACGGUUAGGAUGCCCCUCUCAAUUUAUGGUUUUGUCUACACUGCUUGAAUGUACAUUUGGUGUUGCAUCAGCCAUUUUGGUUUAUUGGGAGGUUGAAGGUGAAUGAAGAUGAUUUUAAUGAAGGCUUCAGAUCGAGCUCAAGUCUGCUCUGAUACCAUAAAAGAAGACACUGAUUUUGAUGAUUUUCACCUUGUAUUCAUUUAUCUGUUCAUUCCUAUAUAUACACGUUAUUGUAAAUAAAAGGCUAAGAAAAAUACUAAAACCUAUACACUUGUCUACUUAUGAUUUGUACAGUUGUGUAACAGAAAAUAUUCCUUCACAUGACUAACACGUGAAGGAAAGUCAACAUAGAAGACUUUGAAGUGGGAAACAUAUUACUUUUUUUGUCUGAAAUGUGUUUGGCAUCUAAUGCCUUGGUCAAUAUAGAAGAAUUUGAAGUGGGAAACAUAUUAUUACUUUUUGUCUGAAACUCUUUCUCUUUCCUUGUAAACUCGUUCUCUUUCCCUUUCUCUUUCUUUUCCAUUCUUCUUUUUCUUCGUUUGAUUAUUUCGAUCUGUAAUCAUGGAUGCAUCAUUCAAACUCAAGAUGGUUGGAUCUUCAUUAACACUUUUUGUGUGGAAAAAAUUGUUUUCCAUGCAAAAGGUUCUUCCUGGAAGAUGUUUUACCUCAAGAAAUAAGUUUCUGAAUCAGAUUCCAAAGUUUGGUUGGUACAGAAGUAAGGUGACAUGGUAAUCAUACAAAGAUUGACAGCAAGCUGGUAGAAAAAAUGACAUGGAGUAAGAGUUGCAAUAUUUAUAAAGGAAAAGGACUUCCAUCUAUAUAAGUGACAUAAAUCAUUUCAUAGUUUUGUGGAAAUCAUUUUCUUUGAGAAAACUAUUCCAAUAAUUCGAGAUAACCAAAUUUUGAAAAAUGAUUUCAUCAGGAAAAACAUGUAAGAUAACAUUUUUUGGAAAAAUAAUGUCUAUCAUACCAAAUCCAUCUCCAUCCAUCAACAAGUCAACAGAACUUGAGUCCUUAGCCACCUUUUCUUAUUACUUCCUUCUUUUUUGUCGAUUUAUCAUCUUAUCAUAUAUUAUACUGAAAGUGGGAAGAUAUCAAGUCUAAAACCAAAUUACCAAAAUGCCCAAUAGAAAAAGAUGACGAACCAUUUUGCCGUGUUCUUCUACUCCUAUUAAUCAAAUGAAUAAAAAUAAUAAUUUAGCUACACUAAAUUGGAAACAGGAGGGCUCUUCCAUCUUCCCGUACUUAUUGUUCUUUUUGGCUUUCAUACCAGUAAAAUCAUUAACCAAAUUUUAUUUAAAUAUUCCUGUGUCUUUGAUAAAUUACACAAUGAAGUGUUGUUUCAAAAGCUAUAUUGAUUCUUUCAAAUUCCACUAAUUUAUUAUGUUAAAAAAUUAUAGAGAAGCUAAGGAGUUAAAAAUUAAAGAGUAAUUAAUUUAACGCUGACCAAAUUCAUUUGAUUGUAUAUGAACGGUCAUUUCUUCAUUUAUGUACUUAAUGAUGCCUUAAAGAAUCUUAGAAAUGUGAAUAAAGAGUGCCAACUUUAUGUAAUUCCAUGACUGAGACAGUUCAGCACUACUCCACGGUUAGGAUGCCCCUCUCAAUUUAUUUUCUCUAAUCAUUUUGAUUUUUACAGAAAUUGGAAGGUUGUUGGUGAUCCA